RNAcentral lists this ribosomal RNA (253 nucleotides) under uncultured bacterium. RNAcentral describes it as "partial 16S ribosomal RNA". It matches the Rfam family "Bacterial small subunit ribosomal RNA", at positions 524 to 776 of the family's 1533-position model. The record is from RNAcentral.
UACGUAGGGUGCGAGCGUUAAUCGGAAUUACUGGGCGUAAAGCGUGCGCAGGCGGUUUUGUAAGCCAGAUGUGAAAUCCCCGGGCUUAACCUGGGAAUGGCAUUUGGGACUGCAAGGCUGGAGUUUGGCAGAGGAGACUGGAAUUCCCGGUGUAGCAGUGAAAUGCGUAGAUAUCAGGAGGAACACCAGUGGCGAAAGCGGCUCACUGGCCGGAAUCUGACACUGAGGUGCGAAAGCUAGGGUAGCAAACGGG